UAUCACAUAAUACCUCUCAUAAUACAUUUCAUGUUUAAUGAUGCAUGUUCGGUGGUGUAACUUUGGAAGAUCCAAAACAUGAUUCUGGAUGGAUUUAAUACUUAAUGUAGCAACAUUACUGUAGUACACCAUCCUUUAAUAUUGGAUAAGAAGAAGAAGAAUAUUUGCUGUAUCUAGAAAGUACUUAGUAUUUCUGGAAUUAGGAGACAUAAUUUACCACUCACAAUGAAGUAAUCAAAACAAAAUAUUAUUAUUGUUAACUAAUUAAUCUAAUUUUUACAGCUCUGCAGAGGACUGCACACCAUCCUGCAUCCACAGCCAAAGCCUGUGUAAGUGAAAACUGAUCUGUUUUUUAUUUUGCAUCAUCUGCUUUUCUUUCUUGCUUCUGCAGUGUUUUAUUAUCCAAAUUCAUUUUUAUUCAUGCAGUUUUUGUUCUGUGCUGCUGUGUCCAUGUGCAACUUUAAAUGUCUUACUUGGCUGAAGCAGGUAAAACUUAAAGGAACAAUAGGAAACCUAAAAUAAUGAUUUUUAAUAACAGAAUAAGGUCCAGUGAAGAUGAUGAGUAGCAGAAGUAGCUAAAUUAUCCCUUAUAUCAAUUUUAAAGAUAAAGGUUGGACGCAUCCAACUUUGAAAUUGGGCCAGCCAUGAAUAAAAUUGAUCAUCUGAACAAAAAGCACAUCUUUUCCAUGCAUCUUUCUUUUAAAAAAAAAAAAAAAAAAAAAAGCAAAAUAGGAGGGAAAGAAAUAUUUAUGCAGAUUUUGCUCCCAGCUCUAGAUAUAAUAACACAUAAUUGUGGAAUAGGUGAUUGCAAGUAUUAAUAUUGCUAUGGUUAAAUUUACUUUACAACAUGAGGAAUUAGUCCAGCCAUCUUAUCAGGGUCUCUGAUACAGUAUUAUUCACCAUCAGCUGAGAAAUCAAUAUGAUACCCCUGAGUAUUGAGAAAUGUUUACAUCUAAAAUAAACCCAUUCCACAAAGAGGACAGUUCUGAGUAGGGAAAGUUUGAGUGCACAUUUUUAAGGUGUUAUGCUGACCUUAGAGUGGGCUUGCAGAAAGUACCCCUAAAUAAUACAAGCAGGGAAAGUACAGAUUGCAGGAUGUUUAUUUUUUUUCAGGUAAUCAGCACAAAUGUGUGACUUGGAAGAUAAACUAGCAAAACUGAAAUGUGUCCAAAGGUGAGUCUGCAGAUUACACAAGUCUUUAUUUUGAGAGAUUAAAGUCCUCAAAAUCAAGAUAAGCUUACUUUAUAGACUUAUCUAUGAAGUAGAAACUGAUCUCCUGCCAAAUAAAGUUGUACCUUAUCAAAUAGUUGUAAUACGCUGAUAACAAACAUAUUUCUGUGCUUUAGAUUAUCAGUUACAUUUAUCGUUAUUAUAAUUUUGUAUUUAACUUUAUUUUAAUAAAUCAUGACUACUUCCCAUUCUAAUCAGCAGGACGAAACAGUGUGAUGAUGUGGGUCAUGAUGCUCAGAGCGCACUUCACUGGACAUCUGUGGGAGAUGCAUGGCAGGAACCUGGCACCGGUUGACUGUCUUUCUUUGGCUGUGUUUGUGCAUGCAUGGACUGGAUGCCUGAGUGAAAAACUUAAAUACAGAAAAAUCUCUGGGAAGGAAACAGCUCAUACUCCACCACAGAAACCCCUGCACCAGUUAACACGUGCAUGACUCCAAGUGACGAAACGCUACGUCCAGAUGAACAGAAUCAACUUUUGGAGAUUUACUUACCUUGAUGAUUGAGAAUGCAUCAAGAUACUUCCUAAAACUUUUUUUUUUUAAUCUGAACAGUUAAAACUUAAAACACUGCUUAUAAAAUAUUGGUGUCAGUGUC
This is a long non-coding RNA of Haplochromis burtoni (Burton's mouthbrooder), 1824 nucleotides long. RefSeq lists it as uncharacterized. The transcript is spliced from 2 exons. The record is from RefSeq and is a predicted model, not a curated record. NCBI's taxonomy places the organism in Eukaryota, Metazoa, Chordata, Actinopteri, Cichliformes, Cichlidae.